CUUUACGAUUUUUUGCCAGAUCGAUUUUUUAGUACCCGCAUAUCGACAGGAAGUCUAUUUUAUGCUGAUAUUGAUGAACAAAAAGUAUCAGAGAAAUCAGAUGUUUAUUUUUUUGGCAUCAUACUUUUGGAACUAAUUUCUGGAAGAGAAUAUAUAGUUAAUGGCUUCCCCAUUUUUUCUUGGG
This is a long non-coding RNA of Manihot esculenta (cassava), 184 nucleotides long. RefSeq lists it as uncharacterized. The transcript is spliced from 2 exons. NCBI's taxonomy places the organism in Eukaryota, Viridiplantae, Streptophyta, Magnoliopsida, Malpighiales, Euphorbiaceae. The record is from RefSeq and is a predicted model, not a curated record.